RNAcentral lists this ribosomal RNA (333 nucleotides) under uncultured Cercozoa. Its description in RNAcentral is "SSU rRNA". The stretch from base 119 to 333 matches the Rfam family "Eukaryotic small subunit ribosomal RNA", at positions 744 to 955 of the family's 1831-position model. RNAcentral also lists the same sequence under 2 other names. The record is from RNAcentral. Lineage: Eukaryota; Cercozoa.
GAUUUCUGACGAAACUGCUAGCUGGCCCGCCACGCAAGUGUGUGAGUGCCGGCUUGGCGUUUGUCAUCCGUUCGAAUGAUAUGCGUGCUGCCCUUCACUGGGUUGGCGCUGCAUGUUUUCGAUCUUUUACUUUGAAAAAAUUAGAGUGUUUCAAGCAGGCAUGUUUUGCUAUGAAUACAUUAGCAUGGAAUAAUAAUCUAGGACUUUCGGUUCUAUUUUGUUGGUGUUCUGGAGCUGAAGUAAUGAUUGAUAGGGAUAGUUGGGGGUGCUAGUAUUCAAUGGCCAGAGGUGAAAUUCUCGGAUUCCUUGAAGACUAACUUAUGCGAAAGCAUU